GACAACAUCAUACUCGAAUGCUGUGGGUACGAUAAGCGGCAUCGUUGCCAGCAUUUUGGAGGUGCUGUUAGCAGUCGCCGCCAUUAUUUUCUACAGACGACAUCGAGCAAAUGGUAAGGCAGCCACUGGAGUGGCUUUUGAGAAUCCAACAUACACUCGAGGUUUAGAACAAGUACAGUUACCAACUGUAACAUCCGCCCUGACGCAUACUAAUGGCAAUGGUAACUUUAGUCGGGC
Molecule: long non-coding RNA, 237 nt
Organism: Musca vetustissima
Lineage: Eukaryota; Metazoa; Arthropoda; Insecta; Diptera; Muscidae
Exons: 2
Source: RefSeq, a predicted model, not a curated record